Molecule: ribosomal RNA, 483 nt
Filed under: uncultured bacterium
Lineage: Bacteria
Description: bacterial SSU rRNA
Rfam family: Bacterial small subunit ribosomal RNA
Source: RNAcentral
AUGAACGCUAGCGGCAGGCUUAACACAUGCAAGUCGAGGGGCAACACGGGUAGCAAUACCUGGUGGCGACCGGCGCAAGGGUGCGUAACGCGUGAGCAACAUGCCCUAUACAGGGGGAUAAUCCAGGGAAACUUGGUCUAAUAUCCCAUAGUAUUUAGAGGUGGCAUCACCACUAAAUUAAAGCUUCGGUGGUAUAGGAUUGGCUCGCGUGACAUUAGCUGGAUGGUGGGGUAACGGCUCACCAUGGCGAUGAUGUCUAGGGGUUCUGAGAGGAAGACCCCCCACACUGGGACUGAGACACGGCCCAGACUCCUACGGGAGGCAGCAGUGAGGAAUAUUGGACAAUGGAUGGAAAUCUGAUCCAGCCAUGCCGCGUGCAGGAAGACGGCCCUAUGGGUUGUAAACUGCUUUUAUAUGGGAGCAAUAAGGUUUACGAGUAGACCGAUGAGAGUACCAUAUGAAUAAGCAUCGGCUAACUCCGUG